GAUGAACGCUGGCGGCGUGCCUAAGGCAUGCAAGUCGUGGGACAGGUUUUUUUGUAGCAAUACCGAGAAACACUGACCGGCAAACGGGAGAGUAACACAUUGAUAACUUACCUUUAAGACGAGGAUAGCCCACCGAAAGGUGGAUUAAUACUCGAUAGACAUGGGGGGGCGGUGAGGCCAUUCCCAUGUAAAACUUACGGUGCUUAGAGAGAGGUCUAUGUCUGAUUAGUUAGUUGGUGGGGUAAUGGCCUACCAAGACGAUGAUCAGUACCGGGCGUGAGAGCGUGACCCGGCUCACUGGGACUGAGAUACUGCCCAGACACCUACGGGUGGCUGCAGUCAGGAAUAUUCCGCAAUGCACGAAAGUGUGACGGAGCGACGCCGCGUGCAGGAAGAAGCCCCUCGGGGUGUAAACUGCUUUUAUAUGGGAAGAAUUUUUGACGGUACCAUAUGAAUAAGAGGUUGCAAACUCUGUGCCAGCAGCCGCGGUAAAGUGCGCG
This 500-nucleotide ribosomal RNA is filed under the name uncultured bacterium. RNAcentral describes it as "bacterial SSU rRNA". It matches the Rfam family "Bacterial small subunit ribosomal RNA", at positions 28 to 530 of the family's 1533-position model. The record is from RNAcentral.